Molecule: ribosomal RNA, 1218 nt
Filed under: uncultured Rhizaria
Lineage: Eukaryota
Description: SSU rRNA
Rfam family: Eukaryotic small subunit ribosomal RNA
Source: RNAcentral
CGGUAAUUCCAGCCCCAAUAGCGUAUACUAAAGUUGUUGCAGUUAAAAAGCUCGUAGUCGGAUUUCUGCGGGGACGGAGCGGCCGGUCGCAACUUGCGACUCGAGCUAGCGCUUUCCCCGCAUCCUGCCGCGAACCGUGCUACCAUUAGCUUGGUGGCGCUGGGGAUCGGCUCGAUUACUUUGAGAAAAAUAGAGUGUUCAAAGCAGGCCACACGCCUUGAAUAAGUUAGCAUGGAAUAAUGACUAAGGACUUCGGUUCUAUUUUGUUGGUGUUCGGGACUGAAGUAAUGAUUGAUAGGGACAGUUGGGGCGGUCUGUAUUCCAAAGCGAGAGGUGAAAUUCUUAGACCUUCGGAAGACAAACAGCUGCGAAAGCGUUCCGCAAGGAUGUUCCCUUUGAUCAAGAACGAAAGUUGGGGGAUCGAAGACGAUCAGAUACCGUCGUAGUCUCAACUAUAAACUAUACCAGCUAGGGAUCGGUCAACGUUUAAUCAUUCGACUUGAUCGGCACCUUAUGAGAAAUCAAAGCAUCUGGGUUCCGGGGGGAGUAUGGUCGCAAGGCUGAAACUUAAAGGAAUUGACGGAAGGGCACCACCAGCCGUGGAGCCUGUGGCUUAAUUUGACUCAACACGGGAAAACUUACCAGGUCCAGACAUAGUAAGGAUUGACAGAUUGAUAGCUCUUUCUUGAUUCUGUGGGUGGUGGUGCAUGGCCGUUCUUAGUUGGUGGAGUGAUUUGUCUGGUUAAUUCCGUUAACGAACGAGACCCCAGCCUGCUAAAUAGCGCGGCUGAGCUUUGCUCGGUGCGAGCUUCUUAGAGGGACUAUGAUGCGCGAUAGCACAUGGAAGUUUGGGGCAAUAACAGGUCUGUGAUGCCCUUAGAUGUUCUGGGCCGCACACGGGCUACACUGGCGCCUGCAACGAGCAUAUCAGCUGGCCCGAGAGGGUCUUGGCUAAUCUUUUGAACCGGCGCCGUGCUUGGGAUUGACCAUUGCAAUUGUUGGUCAUGCAACGAGGAAUGCCUUGUAAACGCGAGUCAUCAGCUCGCAUUGAAUACGUCCCUGCCCUUUGUACACACCGCCCGUCGCUCCUACCGAUGAAUGUUCCGAUGAAAUUUUCGGAGAGCGCCGGAGAACGGGGCUCUGCCUUGCAGAUCUGGAGGCUCAAAGUCACUUAAAUCUGAACAUUUCGAGGAAGGAGAAGUCGUAACAAGGUAGCCG